RNAcentral lists this ribosomal RNA (520 nucleotides) under Platypleura stridula. Its description in RNAcentral is "partial 16S ribosomal RNA". It matches the Rfam family "Bacterial large subunit ribosomal RNA", at positions 1819 to 2609 of the family's 2925-position model. The record is from RNAcentral. Lineage: Eukaryota; Metazoa; Arthropoda; Insecta; Hemiptera; Cicadidae.
GUCCUUUAGAAAAAAGUUAAAGGUCUAAUCUGCCCAAUGAUGUUUGAAUGGCCGCGGUAACUUGACCGUGCAAAGGUAGCAUAAUUAUUAGUCUUUUAAUUGAAGGCUUGAAUGAAAGAUUGGAUGAAAAAUAAACUUUAUUAAUAAAUAUUAUUUAAUUUAUCAUUUAAGUAAAAAUUCUUAAAUAUAUAAGUGGGACGAGAAGACCCUAUAGAGUUUUAUAUUUAUUUUUAUUAUGAACUUUAAGAAUCAAUAUUUUCAUAAUAUAAAUAAAUAUUUUAUUGGGGUGAUAUUAAAAAUUACUGAACUUUUAAUUAACAUUUCAUUAAUAUAUGAAUUUUUGAUCCAAAAUAAUUUUUGAUUAUAAGAUUAAAUUACCUUAGGGAUAACAGCGUCAUUAAUUUGAAGAGUUCAAAUCGAUAAAUUAGUUUGCGACCUCGAUGUUGGAUUAAGAAUAAAUUUUGAAGAAGUAUUUAAAAUUGUAGGUCUGUUCGACCUUUAAAUUCUUACGUGAUCUGAG